RNAcentral lists this long non-coding RNA (1544 nucleotides) under Cicer arietinum (chickpea). RNAcentral describes it as "long non-coding RNA (CARI_LNC001393)". Lineage: Eukaryota; Viridiplantae; Streptophyta; Magnoliopsida; Fabales; Fabaceae. The record is from RNAcentral.
UAGAGUCUAAACUCAUGCAUAACAUUUCAUUUUGUUGUGAUUAAUGCAUACAACAUGCGAUAAUAAUUUCCCUUAGACGAUUUGAUGUUACAGUGAAAUGUAUUGAUUUCCCUUGAGUGAUUUUGACUUUUAAUGUGAUAUUUUUCUUGAGCAAUGUUUGUAUAAUGAUACGGUUCUAUAAUGAUUGUUUGUGUUUUAUUAGCUUAAUUUGAUAUAUGGUUCUAUAAUGAUUGUUUGUGUUUUAUACAGUUAUUGGAAAUAUAUUUUUAUUUAUUAUCUGAAAAUUGUAGAAAGAAUGAAUUAUUAUUAUUAUUAUUAUUAUUAUUAUUAUUAUUAUUAUUAUUAUUAUUAUUAUAUUAUUUUGGGGUUUAUGGUGUCACAAAGUUGGUAAAUCUAAUACUCACCAAGUCAUACAAUUCGAUCGAAAUUGUUAUUCUUUCAUGGUCCAUGAAACAGUAAACCCGAGAAAGGUGCAACCAAUUGGCCAUUUUGACGUCAACCUUUAAAAAAAAUGGUGUGAUUAUGGAAAAUUUCAGGCUAUACAUGUUCUUACGCUCGUCAAAACUAUUUAGUGUUUCUACUUAGUGUUAGUUACAUGUUCUUACGCUCGUCAAAACUAUUUAGUGUUUCUACUUGACGUGUACAAGGUUGUUAAUGUAUUUAUCAUCUACAAAGAAGAGUUUCUACAUAUACCCAAUGAAGGAUAUUGGCCCACAUUUGAAAGUGAAACUUUGUAUCACAAGCCUGAAAUGCGGAGAAUUAAAAAAUACCGUCCAAAUAAUACCCUAUUAGAACUGAAAUGGAAGUUAAAGAAAAGUACUAAGAAAAUGUAGACUAUAUCGGUUAACUGGUCAUACUCGAACACAUUGUCCAAAUGUUACAAGAAGUUUUAGUCGCUCUAUAUAAUUUAAAAUUUGUAUUUAUGUAUUUAUCUAAAUUAUAUAUAUAUAUAUAUAUAUAUAUAUGUAUAUAUUGUUAUUUGAAAAAAAAAUUAAUUUUUUUUUGUAAAUUAUUUCAGGAAGUCGCCAUUUGAAAGGUUUUCUUAAGGAAGUUACCAUUCUAAAUGACGACUUAUACUUAGAAAAAAAAGUCUAUUUUGGUUAAUAAAUUUAAAAAGAGAGUAUUUGGGUAAUUUUGUUUAGAAAUAGGGUUAUUAUUUAAAAAAAAAAAACCCAAAUUGGGGCCGAAGCCCACAUAUUGAUAUAAACUAAUGACCAAAGCAGUGUCGUGAGUGAACUUAUCUAGCGAAGGCAUUAACUCGUCAGACAUGCUAAUCAACUUUCUCACUUGUGUUCAUCACUCUCAAUCCUUGCAUGGCGAUGGAAUCAUGUCCCCAAGCAAGAACUCAAAUUUCAUAUUUAAUUUGGAGAUUUAGGCAUCGGUGAAUUCUAAAGAUUUGCAAUUAUUGAUAUAAUCUUACAAAAUUAUAUCUAUCAUAUUUGAAGUAAUUCAUCACCAAAUUCUCAACAUCUUUUGUGUCAUGAAAUUCUUUAUUUCUUUAUAAAUAACUUUCUCAAACAUCCAAUACUACUAUUAUAUUGUUG